UGUGAACUCGAAGAGUAGGGCGGGACACGUGGUAUCCUGUCUGAAUAUGGGGGGACCAUCCUCCAAGGCUAAAUACUCCUGACUGACCGAUAGUGAACCAGUACCGUGAGGGAAAGGCGAAAAGAACCCCGGCGAGGGGAGUGAAAAAGAACCUGAAACCGUGUACGUACAAGCAGUGGGAGCACCUUCGGGUGUGACUGCGUACCUUUUGUAUAAUGGGUCAGCGACUUAUAUUCUGUAGCAAGGUUAACCGUAUAGGGGAGCCGCAGGGAAACCGAGUCUUAACUGGGCGUUAAGUUGCAGGGUAUAGACCCGAAACCCGGUGAUCUAGCCAUGGGCAGGUUGAAGGUUGGGUAACACUAACUGGAGGACCGAACCGACUAAUGUUGAAAAAUUAGCGGAUGACUUGUGGCUGGGGGUGAAAGGCCAAUCAAACCGGGAGAUAGCUGGUUCUCCCCGAAAGCUAUUUAGGUAGCGCCUCGUGAACUCAUCUUCGGGGGUAGAGCACUGUUUCGGCUAGGGGGUCAUCCCGACUUACCAACCCGAUGCAAACUACGAAUACCGAAGAAUGUUAUCACGGGAGACACACGGCGGGUGCUAACGUCCGUCGUGAAGAGGGAAACAACCCAGACCGCCAGCUAAGGUCCCAAAGUCAUGGUUAAGUGGGAAACGAUGUGGGAAGGCACAGACAGCCAGGAUGUUGGCUUAGAAGCAGCCAUCAUUUAAAGAAAGCGUAAUAGCUCACUGGUCGAGUCGGCCUGCGCGGAAGAUGUAACGGGGCUAAACCAUGCACCGAAGCUGCGGCAGCGACACUAUGUGUUGUUGGGUAGGGGAGCGUUCUGUAAGCCUGCGAAGGUGACCUGUGAGGGUUGCUGGAGGUAUCAGAAGUGCGAAUGCUGACAUAAGUAACGAUAAAGCGGGUGAAAAGCCCGCUCGCCGGAAGACCAAGGGUUCCUGUCCAACGUUAAUCGGGGCAGGGUGAGUCGACCCCUAAGGCGAGGCCGAAAGGCGUAGUCGAUGGGAAACAGGUUAAUAUUCCUGUACUUGGUGUUACUGCGAAGGGGGGACGGAGAAGGCUAUGUUAGCCGGGCGACGGUUGUCCCGGUUUAAGCAUGUAGGCUGGUUGUCCAGGCAAAUCCGGAUAAUCAAGGCUGAGGUGUGAUGACGAGGCACUACGGUGCUGAAGUAACAAAUGCCCUGCUUCCAGGAAAAGCCUCUAAGCAUCAGGUAACAUUANNNNNNNNNNNNNNNNNNNNNNNNNNNNNNNNNNNNNNNNNNNNNNNNNNNNNNNNNNNNNNNNNNNNNNNNNNNNNNNNNNNNNNNNNNNNNNNNNCAAAUCGUACCCCAAACCGACACAGGUGGUCAGGUAGAGAAUACCAAGGCGCUUGAGAGAACUCGGGUGAAGGAACUAGGCAAAAUGGUGCCGUAACUUCGGGAGAAGGCACGCUGGUGUGUAGGUGAAGUCCCUGCGGAUGGAGCUGAGACCAGUCGAAGAUACCAGCUGGCUGCAACUGUUUAUUAAAAACACAGCACUGUGCAAACACGAAAGUGGACGUAUACGGUGUGACGCCUGCCCGGUGCCGGAAGGUUAAUUGAUGGGGUUAUCCGUAAGGAGAAGCUCUUGAUCGAAGCCCCGGUAAACGGCGGCCGUAACUAUAACGGUCCUAAGGUAGCGAAAUUCCUUGUCGGGUAAGUUCCGACCUGCACGAAUGGCGUAAUGAUGGCCAGGCUGUCUCCACCCGAGACUCAGUGAAAUUGAACUCGCUGUGAAGAUGCAGUGUACCCGCGGCAAGACGGAAAGACCCCGUGAACCUUUACUAUAGCUUGACACUGAACAUUGAGCCUUGAUGUGUAGGAUAGGUGGGAGGCUUUGAAGCGUGGACGCCAGUCUGCGUGGAGCCAACCUUGAAAUACCACCCUUUAAUGUUUGAUGUUCUAACGUUGGCCCCUUACCGGGGUUGCGGACAGUGUCUGGUGGGUAGUUUGACUGGGGCGGUCUCCUCCCAAAGCGUAACGGAGGAGCACGAAGGUUAGCUAAUCCUGGUCGGACAUCAGGAGGUUAGUGCAAUGGCAUAAGCUAGCUUGACUGCGAGCGUGACGGCGCGAGCAGGUGCGAAAGCAGGUCAUAGUGAUCCGGUGGUUCUGAAUGGAAGGGCCAUCGCUCAACGGAUAAAAGGUACUCCGGGGAUAACAGGCUGAUACCGCCCAAGAGUUCAUAUCGACGGCGGUGUUUGGCACCUCGAUGUCGGCUCAUCACAUCCUGGGGCUGAAGUAGGUCCCAAGGGUAUGGCUGUUCGCCAUUUAAAGUGGUACGCGAGCUGGGUUUAGAACGUCGUGAGACAGUUCGGUCCCUAUCUGCCGUGGGCGCUGGAGAAUUGAGGGGGGCUGCUCCUAGUACGAGAGGACCGGAGUGGACGCAUCACUGGUGUUCGGGUUGUCAUGCCAAUGGCACUGCCCGGUAGCUAAAUGCGGAAGAGAUAAGUGCUGAAAGCAUCUAAGCACGAAACUUGCCCCGAGAUGAGUUCUCCCUGAGACUUUAAGUCUCCUGAAGGAACGUU
RNAcentral lists this ribosomal RNA (2558 nucleotides) under Klebsiella pneumoniae. Its description in RNAcentral is "partial 23S ribosomal RNA". It matches the Rfam family "Bacterial large subunit ribosomal RNA", at positions 398 to 2839 of the family's 2925-position model. The record is from RNAcentral. Lineage: Bacteria; Pseudomonadati; Pseudomonadota; Gammaproteobacteria; Enterobacterales; Enterobacteriaceae.